This 474-nucleotide ribosomal RNA is filed under the name uncultured bacterium. Its description in RNAcentral is "bacterial SSU rRNA". It matches the Rfam family "Bacterial small subunit ribosomal RNA", at positions 30 to 524 of the family's 1533-position model. The record is from RNAcentral.
CGAACGUUGGCGGCAAGCUUAACACAUGCAAGUCGAACGAACCAAAUGAUAGCUUGCUACUUUUUGGUGAGUGGCAGACGGGUGAGUAGCGCGUAGGAAUCUGCCCAGUAGUACGGAAUAGUCAUUGGAAACGAUGAGUAAAACCGUAUACGCCCUAUGGUUUUCUAUAGGGGAAAAAUUUAUUGCUAUUGGAUGAGCCUGCGUUGGAUUAGCUAGUUGGUAGGGUAAAGGCCUACCAAGGCGAAGAUCUAUAGCUGAUCUGAGAGGAUGAUCAGCCACACUGGGACUGAGAUACGGCCCAGACUCCUACGGGAGGCAGCAGUGGGGAAUAUUGGACAAUGGGCGCAAGCCUGAUCCAGCUAUGCCGCGUGAGUGAAGAAGGCCUUCGGGUUGUAAAACUCUUUCAGUGGGGAAGAUUGUGACGGUACCCACAGAAGAAGUCCCGGCUAACUCCGUGCCAGCAGCCGCGGUAAU